This 376-nucleotide long non-coding RNA is filed under the name Capra hircus (goat). Its description in RNAcentral is "lncRNA (ENSCHIG00010019561.1)". Lineage: Eukaryota; Metazoa; Chordata; Mammalia; Artiodactyla; Bovidae. The record is from RNAcentral.
UUCCUGCCUCUGUUUAUCCGGAGCUGCCAGUGCUGGGCUGUCGUGUACCAUUGCAAGCUUGAGGCAGCCUCCUGUGUGGAAAUUCCAAGGGGAAAGCGUAACGCUGGUUUUGCCACUUUUGGACCCCUCAGCCAGGAAUAAUCCAGAUCACCUUUCCUGGAAGUCAGUUUGCUGAAACUACUGAAGCAGCAGUUCCUGGAAGUUGAAGAAAAGGUAAAUAGAAGCAAAUUCGUGUCUGCUAAAGUCCCCUUAAGAGGGAAACCCAUGUUUGGAGGGCCCCUAUUGUUUCUCAGACAUCUCUGUAUGUAAUAUUUUACCUUCCUCUGCCUGGCCACACCCUAGUUUACCUUCGCCAAUGGCUGCCAUCUUAGAAAUG